This 396-nucleotide transfer-messenger RNA is filed under the name Candidatus Portnoybacteria bacterium RIFCSPHIGHO2_01_FULL_40_12b. It matches the Rfam family "transfer-messenger RNA". From Rfam's summary of the family: Bacterial tmRNA, also known as 10Sa RNA or SsrA, is named for its dual tRNA and mRNA-like properties. The record is from RNAcentral. Lineage: Bacteria; Candidatus Portnoyibacteriota. RNAcentral also lists the same sequence under 3 other names.
GGGGAUGCCGGGCCUCGAUAGAAGUGUUUUUAAAAAUAAGCAGGUUGAGCAAGUUGGUUGCCUCAAUAAUCCAUCUAACAAAACAUAAGUGCAAACUUAUUUUCAAAAGCUAAGAACGCUAUUGCUUCAAUCUUUAACGUUCCAAGCUUAGUUCCAGUCUACGCCUAAAUUCGUAGACCAUCCGGCUAAUUGAUUCUCAAUAGAUUAGUUUGGGUGUCAAAUUAUUGAGAUAGAUAAUUUAGCGGUCUCAACUAAAUUAUUGAAAAACAAGAGACAGGAUUAAGAAUCUUUUGUCUGAUUUUUAUUUCUUAAUCUCUUUUAAAAAUCAGACUAAGCUUGUAGAAUUAUUUUAAAAAUAUUAUCUAGACAUGGGUUCAACUCCCAUCAUCUCCACCG